GGUUAAGCGACUAAGCGUACACGGUGGAUGCCCUGGCAGUCAGAGGCGAUGAAGGACGUGCUAAUCUGCGAUAAGCGUCGGUAAGGUGAUAUGAACCGUUAUAACCGGCGAUUUCCGAAUGGGGAAACCCAGUGUGAUUCGUCACACUAUCAUUAACUGAAUCCAUAGGUUAAUGAGGCGAACCGGGGGAACUGAAACAUCUAAGUACCCCGAGGAAAAGAAAUCAACCGAGAUUCCCCCAGUAGCGGCGAGCGAACGGGGAGGAGCCCAGAGCCUGAAUCAGUGUGUGUGUUAGUGGAAGCGUCUGGAAAGGCGCGCGAUACAGGGUGACAGCCCCGUACACAAAAAUGCACAUGCUGUGAGCUCGAUGAGUAG
This 375-nucleotide ribosomal RNA is filed under the name Escherichia coli. Its description in RNAcentral is "partial 23S ribosomal RNA". It matches the Rfam family "Bacterial large subunit ribosomal RNA", at positions 1 to 415 of the family's 2925-position model. Lineage: Bacteria; Pseudomonadati; Pseudomonadota; Gammaproteobacteria; Enterobacterales; Enterobacteriaceae. The record is from RNAcentral.